AGAGAGAGACAUGCGCGCAUAUCAAUAAGCGGAGGAAAAGAAACUAACAAGGAUUCCCUUAGUAACGGCGAGUGAAGCGGGAAGAGCUCAAAUUUGAAAUCUUAAAGGGUUUCCCUUUACGAAUUGUAGUUUAAAGAAGUGUUUUCUGUUGAGGUUUUGGUAAAAGUUCUUUGGAAUAGGACAUCAUAGAGGGUGAGAAUCCCGUAUUUGACCUUUACUUUCAACUUUGUGAUACACUUUCAAAGAGUCGGAUUGUUUGGGAAUGCAGUCCAAAAUGGGUGGUAAAUUUCAUCUAAAGCUAAAUAUUGGCGAGAGACCGAUAGCGAACAGGUACCGUGAGGGAAAGAUGAAAAGAACUUUGAAAAGAGAGUUAAACAGUACGUGAAAUUGUCAAAAGGGAAGCGUUUGACACCAGUGUUGUUUUUCUGAAAAUCAAUUAAAGAACUGUUUAUGCUAAGUUGUUUAGACUUUAUCAGCUAACUGUUUAGUUUUGAGCUUUUCUUUAAUGCACUUUUCAGUUAACAAGUCAACAGUCAAUUUCUUUUGCUGUAAAAAAGCUUGAGGAAGGUGGCUUGAGAUUCGUCUUAAGUGUUUAUAGCCUCUUGCCUAUGCAGUCGGAGAGAUUGAGGUCUGCAGCGUAGAUCCUUCGGGGCUAAAUGCAUUUGUGCUAAGUUAUAGCAUUUUAUAGACAACUUGUUGACUAUGAUUUGUCUUGUAGCUUACUCGCUUAUGUUAUUUUACCUACGCUUAGGAUGUUGAGCGCAUGUCUCUCUCU
This 775-nucleotide ribosomal RNA is filed under the name uncultured Neocallimastigales. Its description in RNAcentral is "partial large subunit ribosomal RNA". It matches the Rfam family "Eukaryotic large subunit ribosomal RNA", at positions 23 to 616 of the family's 3401-position model. Lineage: Eukaryota; Fungi; Neocallimastigomycota; Neocallimastigomycetes; Neocallimastigales. The record is from RNAcentral.